This 399-nucleotide ribosomal RNA is filed under the name Eryx miliaris. RNAcentral's name for it is "partial 16S ribosomal RNA". It matches the Rfam family "Bacterial large subunit ribosomal RNA", at positions 1962 to 2573 of the family's 2925-position model. Lineage: Eukaryota; Metazoa; Chordata; Lepidosauria; Squamata; Erycidae. The record is from RNAcentral.
UAAUCAUUUGUCUAUUAAUUGUAGACCAGUAUGAAAGGCCACAUGAGAGCCAAACUGUCUCUUGUAACCAAUCAAUUAAACUGAUCUUCUAGUACAAAAGCUAGAAUAACCAUAUAAGACCAGAAGACCCUGUGAAGCUUAAACUAACCUACUAAACAAACUAGUAGCUACUUUCGGUUGGGGCGACCUUGGAACAAAACAAAACUUCCAAACACAAUGAGCCAUCCCUCAUAACCACCAGGCAAACAAGCCAACAUAUGACCCAGUAACACUGAUAACUGAACCAAGUUACUCCAGGGAUAACAGCGCUAUCUUCUUCAAGAGCCCUUAUCAAAAAGAAGGUUUACGACCUCGAUGUUGGAUCAGGACACCCAGGUGGUGCAGCCGCUACCAAAGGUU